UGUAUUUUCCCGCCAUCUUAAUUUCUAUUUUUAGAUAUUAGACAAAGGGUUAAUUUUAAAUAUUCCAAAUUCCUAUUUUUAGAUCAAAACGGCCGCCUUCUUCACAAGAUAAAUAGGAACCUGAGGAUUGGAAAGAUAAGUCUCCAAUAAUUGGUUUAAUGUUGAUAAUCAUGAGUUUUUUCUUACCUAUUUCCUAGGCUGUAUUAUUUCUCUAAACAACAAGCUGACACUCGUAGGGCACUGGCACUAAAGGGGGCUGGGGCUUGGCUAUUAGGGGCGGGGCCAGGGGCCAUUAGUCUAUCUAUGCCAUCACCUAUCAUGACCUAUGGCUAAUGAUCUGUACGUUGCUGCAGUGUUGUAUGCAGUUAAUUUUUGACUGAAAUCAAAUACUGUCUACACAUACAGAACUUGAUGGUACUCAGUCUGCUCCCUGGUAUUGACCAAAAAACUUACAGCUGUUUUCCUGUCUGCCCAGUUUGUUUACUGAUUAAAAUGUUAAUUAUUGCUAAAAUUAAUUAAAUUAUCAUAAGUAAUAGACCCCUCCCCAA
Long non-coding RNA from Amphimedon queenslandica, 548 nucleotides. RefSeq lists it as uncharacterized. The transcript has 2 exons. The record is from RefSeq and is a predicted model, not a curated record. Lineage: Eukaryota; Metazoa; Porifera; Demospongiae; Haplosclerida; Niphatidae.